This 116-nucleotide ribosomal RNA is filed under the name Lysinibacillus sphaericus. RNAcentral also lists the same sequence under 12 other names. Lineage: Bacteria; Bacillati; Bacillota; Bacilli; Caryophanales; Bacillaceae. The record is from RNAcentral.
UCUAGUGAUGAUGGCAAAGAGGUCACACCCGUUCCCAUACCGAACACGGAAGUUAAGCUCUUUAGCGCCGAUGGUAGUUGGGGGCUUCCCCCUGCGAGAGUAGGACGUCGCUAGGC